This 721-nucleotide long non-coding RNA is filed under the name Homo sapiens (human). RNAcentral's name for it is "HSALNT0302548". Lineage: Eukaryota; Metazoa; Chordata; Mammalia; Primates; Hominidae. The record is from RNAcentral.
UCACACCACUGCACUCCAGCCUGGGCGACAGAGUGAGACUCCAUCUCAAAAAUAAUAAUAAUAAUGGCUGUAAGGAGCGUGCGUUUCUGAGCCAGUGCUCGCAGGCGUGCAUACGGGGCCUUCUCCUAGCUGCCAUCUGUUACACGGGUCUGUCAUCUCCCCACUUGGAUUUGAGGACUCUUGUCUUUCCUGGGGACACAUGAUUGGAUUACUUCAUCCAGCUUGCUCAGCCUCUGCUCUUCUGAGGAAAGAAGGUCGAGGGAGGGAGACCGUUGGACCAUGGGGGCGGUUUCUCCCAUGCUGUGGUCAUUGAGUUCUCAGGAAAUCUGAUGGUUUUGUAAGUGUUUGGAAGUUCCUCCUUGCUCCACUCUCCUGCUGACUUGUGAAAAAUGUGCCUGCUUCCCCUUCCACCAUGACUGUAAGUUUCCUGAGGCCUCACCAGCCAUGCAGAACUGUUAGGAAAGGCAAAAACUGAUGGAGGAACUGUUCCAGAUGAAAGGAGGCGUAACUAAAUGCAACGUGCAAUCCUGGCAUGGAUCCUGGGCCAAGAAAAAGAAAUAGCCCUAAAGGACAUUACUGAGACAAUGACAAAUUUUGACUAUGGACUGUAGAUUAUGUAAUAGGUUUGUAUUAAUGUUAAAUUUUCUGAUUUUGAUAUUAAAAAUGUUCUUAUGGAGGGGAAUGUUCAUCUUAGAAAAAGACACUUACAUUUAGUGGCAAA